RNAcentral lists this long non-coding RNA (1229 nucleotides) under Equus caballus (horse). Its description in RNAcentral is "lncRNA (ENSECAG00000053547.1)". The record is from RNAcentral. Lineage: Eukaryota; Metazoa; Chordata; Mammalia; Perissodactyla; Equidae.
AUUUCACAAUGGCUCCUUUCCCCUCCCCCUAAAAUUAGCAGGAGAGGGUUUUCCUCAGAUAUUUACUGUGAGAACCUGGUCUGGAUCCUGGAGGUAAAUCUCACAAAAUUGUGGGAGCCCUUCUAUGACUGUGUCCCCUUGGAAUUUUUAACUCAUAGAGUUGUGCACACUGAGUAUCCAGCAAUUCAUUAAUUAUAGUUCUGGUUUUCCUAUUCUGGUGCUGAUUCCUGUAGCAGUUGUUGCUUGUCAGUCUCUCCUUGGAAGAAGAGGAAUUCAUUAUGCAUUCAUUAUACCUUCUUGACCUGCAAGUCCAUUCCCCUGGAUUCUCUGGAUUCAGAAGCCCUGUUUGCUGACAUUUUAGGCUUCAGUUGACACUUUUGGGUUCCUGACCUGCUCACAGCACUCAGCACAUAUCCUGUGCUCGCCCAUCUCCAAGCCUGCUCCCCCUGUGUAUGGUGUGGUGGCCUUCAACCUUUUCACCGGUUAACCGCUGCUCAUCCGACAAGACUCCGGGGAGGACGUUACGUGGGUGUGUUUUUCUCCAAACACGUUAAAUCUGCUUUCUUAGCAUUUCACAGUGCAUCUGCUCUGACGUCUCUCUCCUGCUGUGUUAUGGAGGAAAAAUGAUUAAGCUCUACGUGCUCAAGGAGUGUUGGCCUUUAUGCUCUUAGAAUGGAUGGAUCCAGGGCUCAAGACCCUCCCCUUCCUACCUGCACCUCCUCGGCUUGGCUCUGCCCGUCCCCGCAGCUGCGGGCUUAGGGAAGUCCAGCAGCAGUGGGCAAUGCAGCUUUCCUUUGCCACAUACAGGAGGAGAGAGAAGAGGGAAAUACCUGCUUUUGUAGGACCCUGCCAGGAGCUAGGAAAAGGAAAAUGAACAGAUUUUUCUAUAUUUUUACUCUUUUCCUGAUUUUCAGCAGUGCAUGCAUUGGCCAGAUCAUCAUUUCUGCAUGGACUGAACUUAAUGGCUUUUAUUCUAGACCUUGGAGAUAGCCAUUGUGACCUAAUUCCUUGAUGUAUUCAGAGAAGACAAAUAUGAAACUCCUUCUGAGAUUCUUCAGGCAAAUACAUAGUCAAAGAAUUGAAUACAGGAGCUCUCCUCCCUAGUGGUCCAUAAAAGCAGAAAGAAAGACAAGACCAGUGAAGUUAAAUAUGUGAGAACAAUUAACAGAGGAAGAAUGAAUACGGGAACUAUUUGGAGGGCUCUAGAGUGAAAUCCUUUAUAAAUACUG